RNAcentral lists this ribosomal RNA (923 nucleotides) under uncultured bacterium. RNAcentral's name for it is "bacterial SSU rRNA". It matches the Rfam family "Bacterial small subunit ribosomal RNA", at positions 87 to 1010 of the family's 1533-position model. The record is from RNAcentral.
GAUGACGACCGGCGCACGGGUGCGUAACGCGUAUAGAAUCUACCUUAUAGUAAGGGAUAGCCCAGAGAAAUUUGGAUUAAUACCUUAUAGUAUCUUAAAUCAGCAUUGAUUAAAGAUUAAAGAUUUAUCGCUAUAAGAUGGCUAUGCGUUCUAUUAGCUAGUUGGUAUGGUAACGGCAUACCAAGGCGACGAUAGAUAGGGGUCCUGAGAGGGAGAUCCCCCACACUGGUACUGAGACACGGACCAGACUCCUACGGGAGGCAGCAGUGAGGAAUAUUGGACAAUGGAGGCAACUCUGAUCCAGCCAUGCCGCGUGUAGGAAGACUGCCCUAUGGGUUGUAAACUACUUUUAUAGAGGAAGAAACCGCUCGACGUGUCGAGCUCUGACGGUACUCUACGAAUAAGGAUCGGCUAACUCCGUGCCAGCAGCCGCGGUAAUACGGAGGAUCCAAGCGUUAUCCGGAAUCAUUGGGUUUAAAGGGUCCGUAGGCGGGUUUGUAAGUCAGUGGUGAAAGUUUUCGGCUCAACCGGAAAAUUGCCAUUGAUACUGCAAGUCUUGAAUCAUUAUGAAGUGGUUAGAAUAAGUAGUGUAGCGGUGAAAUGCAUAGAUAUUACUUAGAAUACCGAUUGCGAAGGCAGAUCACUACUAAUGUAUUGACGCUAAGGGACGAAAGCGUGGGUAGCGAACAGGAUUAGAUACCCUGGUAGUCCACGCCGUAAACGAUGGUUACUAGCUGUUCGGUUUUCGGACUGAGUGGCUAAGCGAAAGUGAUAAGUAACCCACCUGGGGAGCACGUUCGCAAGAAUGAAACUCAAAGGAAUUGACGGGGGCCCGCACGAGCGGUGGAGCAUGUGGUUUAAUUCGAUGAUACGCGAGGAACCUUACCAGGGCUUAAAUGUAGUCUGACAGCUUUAGAGAUAGA